Daktulosphaira vitifoliae (grape phylloxera) is the source of this 339-nucleotide long non-coding RNA. RefSeq lists it as uncharacterized. The record is from RefSeq and is a predicted model, not a curated record. The transcript is spliced from 3 exons. NCBI's taxonomy places the organism in Eukaryota, Metazoa, Arthropoda, Insecta, Hemiptera, Phylloxeridae.
ACUGGUAAUGCGACAUUACAGUGCUUGGCUAGUGGCACUAACUAUCCUAUUGGAGAGACUGAGUUUGUUAUUGGACGUUCUCCUGCCUGUUCACUUGUAAUUGAAGAAAAAUCUAUUUCAAGACAACAUUGUUUUAUAAAUAAAUCCAAUGGCCAAUAUUUUAUUUCUCACAAUGGAACAGAUAAUGAAACUUAUGUAAAUUGUGUGCAAAUUUCUAAUGACCAAAAUGAUUUACAAGUUUUAAAUCAUGGAGAUGUCAUUUCCUUUGUAGAUGGGAAUGGAAAUAUUAAUUAUCUGUACAGAUUUAUUUCACAAACAUGUACAAAUAAAAAAUUGAAG